RNAcentral lists this long non-coding RNA (717 nucleotides) under Callithrix jacchus (white-tufted-ear marmoset). RNAcentral's name for it is "lncRNA (ENSCJAG00000070046.1)". Lineage: Eukaryota; Metazoa; Chordata; Mammalia; Primates; Cebidae. The record is from RNAcentral.
AGUGGAAGGUGAAAAGUCAGUAGCAAACUAUUUUGGAAACCAGAGAAAAAAAUACUUCGGAAAGAAAAUACAAUCAAUAUUUUCAAAUGCCAUAAAACAGUUUUCUGAUGAAGCUGAGGUCCACUGAUCUAUAUUUAUCCCGAACAAAUGGUUUUAUCUGGGAUCCCUCAUCUGCAAAUCAGUAACAGUGGGGAGCUGGAUUGAUUCAGACUUUAAGUGUGCAAUCUGGAAGGUCACUUAAAGAUGAUAUGGCAUCAUGAACUGCAUCUCUAAGACACCGCUUAGAGGAAACACACUCUACAAUGGUACCCAAGCAUCUGCCUUCCCAGGAAUAUCUGGACUGGAUUAAUUUGUGGGCAAGAAGGAACUUUUAUUUGUUAAGCUCCUGAGAUUGUGAUUUUGUUUACCAUAGCUGCUAGCAUCAGUUAUUUCAUUCAGAGAUGGAACAUGAAAAUAAAUAAGGCCCUACACUUGAGGAGUUCAAAGUUUAGGAGAUUGGUCAGAGUGGUGGGAGAAACUAUAGGGAAAGGAACAGACCCUGGCCGACCGAUGGAUGAAAUGAGUACUCAGACACAGGUAUGCGGUGUAAGAGCAGGUAGGGGACUGCUUGACUCUAGUGGUCAAAGUGUAGCAGCCCAGAAAAGCUGGAGCUGCUUAAUUUUAUUCACUGCAGGCACAAACAGGCCACAAAGGAUGCAGUCAAGUGCAAGGUUAUGA